GUUAUUUUUAUUAUAGAAAAUUUUAUCUUUCAGAGGGAACGUCCGAUGGAAUAAUAUCCUACGUGUUCUAAUUAGCGACAGACGAGAGAGAGAGAGAGAGAGAAAGAGAGAAAAAAAAACAAAAACGAAACAAACGAAAAAAAAGAAAAGAAAGAAAAGUAGAAUACUGAAAAGUAUUUCGACGAGUGUUACAAAUAUAUAUCUCAAUAUUUUGUUUGAAGAAGAUUAAGGAACAUUUGCAAGUGGGAGAUUGGUGAGAAGAGAAAAAUAAAAAAAAAGGAAAAAAAAAAGAAGAAAGAAAAGAAAGAAAAGUAAAAAAAAAUACACACACACACACACACACACAUACAUACACAAUAUUGUCUCGUCAGACUUUCAAGCGUAAUAAAAAUCCUAGGACAUCGUACAGUUUUAACGAGCUUCGAUGAUACGCGCAGUGCUCGUACGUGGUCUUUUUCCAACUGCGUGAGCAACAUGCGAAUAACGUCAUCACGGACCUACUCGUAUACGCGUACAACCGCUAGUUCCAUUGCGGUUUACCUACAAAAAUAAAGUAAAAUGAGUUAAGGGAUGGAUACUAUUAACGGAAAAGAAGAAAGAAAUAGAUAGUCUUUGAAAAUACGAAUACAACGAUGUAACACCGCUCGGAUAAGAAGACAGAGAGUGGCAAAAGCAGCAGCACCAACACCAUCAGCGUCAGCAACACCAACAGGAGCAACCACAAAAAGAAAAAGCCGAGGAAGGUUGCGUGCUUCCUGCUGCCAGAGGCACUGUAUUAAGGAUUCAUGUUGGAUCCUGCAUACAGAUCAAGUGGAAGGAAGAAUGGAAGUAAGGAAGGAAGGAAGGAAGGAAGUCUACCUACGUAGAUACAUGCAUACAUGGUAGAGACGGUCGAUCGAGCACGGUUGAUCCCAAAGCCGUCUACCGUCAUCGAGAUAGCAUUUCCAGUAAAAGAACGAUCUCGAGAACUUGGGAAUGAGCAAAAAUGGGAACGGAAUCGGACAGUAGACAAAGGGAGGAAAGAAAAGUUACUAAUGUUGAUGGGAUGGAACGUCGGAAGGAAGACUAACUUCUUUUCUUCGUUCGUUUUAGGAUCGUUUUACGGCGAACGCCAUUUUAGAAGAGAAAGAGAAUGAGAGAGAGAGAGAGAAAGAGAGAGAGAGAGAGAGAGAGAGAGAGAAAGGAAAGAUUUGAUAAGAAGAGGUAGGAGAAAUGAGAGAAGAUGGAGGAAGUACUUCGAAUGGAGGAAGUAAUUAGAUCGAUAAUAACUUCCUAUUUGCUUAACUUAUCGGAUAUUUCGAGGAGCAUUAAUCCAUUAUAUGAAGUUCGGUAUACUAAUCCGAGUAUACCGAAAUCCGAGUACCGAACAAACAAGAGGAAACUAGAGACCACGGCGCGUUGUUCUCGAUGCUUACAUUCGGUCGAUGAGCUUUCCUACGAUAUUCUCAACUUGAUAUAUACACGCGGAUUCAACGUUUAGGACAACAGAUGUACUAGACAACUAUGCUCGUGUAUCGCCUUUCAUCGAGUUUUGAAGCUAUAUCUUUAUCAUACAGAUACUACCUAACGUACGUUACGUUACGCUUGAUUAAAGGAUUUUCCAUUAAUGAAACCAAUUCCUAAUUAUAGGACGAUAAUAGAAUUGAUAAGGAAGUAUGAUAAUAAAGUUAUAAGGGAUUUAUUUUAUUUUUUAAUCUAAAAUAAUAUUAUUAUAUAUCGUUGACUGUUAUUUAUUUAUUAAGGAAUAAUAUAACGAUGAAAAAGUUUCAAUGUGUGUGUGUGUGUGUGUGUGAGAGAGAGAGAGAAAGAGAAAAAUAGAGAAAUAAAUGACGUAUUUCUAUUUGAAAAUAACAAUGGGAAAAGUAGGUAAAAGGUGCAAGAUUCACAUAGUACCAUUCACUUGGAUAGAAACGAAUCCGACGAGACUACAAUAGGGACGCUGAUUGGUCAGUUUUGCCGCUGACGCGCUUAAACGGCCCGUAAUUUGUAAUCGUAUUAUCGGCCUGUCGAGAAUCGAUCGAUUCUCUCGUCGUUGCCAUACCGUUUCCUAGCUCUGUCCUCGGUUUUCGAGUUUGGUGGUUCGUCGGAUCAAGGAAACCGAAACUGCUUAUGGAUUAUUACAAUCUACGGAUUAUAUCCUUAUCGAUCGUUAAAUCGGAUGUAUUAUAUGUCUGAUCGUUUAAAAAGAUUUUCGAAAAAAAUGUCAUUGCAAGUUUCCUAACUUU
Long non-coding RNA from Vespa velutina, 2225 nucleotides. RefSeq lists it as uncharacterized. The record is from RefSeq and is a predicted model, not a curated record. The transcript is spliced from 5 exons. Lineage: Eukaryota; Metazoa; Arthropoda; Insecta; Hymenoptera; Vespidae.